UUAAACCAUAUCCGAUUCCAAAAUCAAUUAAACCAUUUUCCAAAUAAUUCCAUAAUAUGAUCCAAAACCAUAUGCAUGUAGUUUGUCCAUAAAAAUAAAUAAUAAUAAUAAUGCAAUGGAGAAAAAAGCAAAUGAAAUGAUACAGCAGUACAAUGCAAACAGCAAGCUUCAUCAAGCUACACACUCCAAGUGAAGCCAGCGUCAAAGC
Molecule: long non-coding RNA, 208 nt
Filed under: Lathyrus oleraceus (garden pea)
Lineage: Eukaryota; Viridiplantae; Streptophyta; Magnoliopsida; Fabales; Fabaceae
Description: Pisum sativum (pea) long non-coding RNA (PSAT_LNC025674)
Source: RNAcentral